UAGGGAAUCUUCCGCAAUGGACGAAAGUCUGACGGAGCAACGCCGCGUGAGUGAAGAAGGUUUUCGGAUCGUAAAACUCUGUUGUUAGGGAAGAACAAGUACCGUUCGAAUAGGGCGGUACCUUGACGGUACCUAACCAGAAAGCCACGGCUAACUACGUGCCAGCAGCCGCGGUAAUACGUAGGUGGCAACCGUUGUCCGGAAUUAUUGGGCGUAAAGCGCGCGCAGGCGGUUUCUUAAGUCUGAUGUGAAAGCCCCCGGCUCAACCGGGGAGGGUCAUUGGAAACUGGGGAACUUGAGUGCAGAAGAGGAGAGUGGAAUUCCACGUGUAGCGGUGAAAUGCGUAGAGAUGUGGAGGAACACCAGUGGCGAAGGCGACUCUCUGGUCUGUAACUGACGCUGAGGCGCGAAAGCGAGGGGAGCGAACAGGAUUAGAUACCCUGGUAGUCCACGCCGUAAACGAUGAGUGCUAAGUGUUAGAGGGUUUCCGCCCUUUAGUGCUGCAGCAAACGCAUUAAGCACUCCGCCUGGGGAGUACGG
RNAcentral lists this ribosomal RNA (540 nucleotides) under uncultured Bacillus sp. RNAcentral describes it as "bacterial SSU rRNA". It matches the Rfam family "Bacterial small subunit ribosomal RNA", at positions 355 to 885 of the family's 1533-position model. Lineage: Bacteria; Bacillati; Bacillota; Bacilli; Caryophanales; Bacillaceae. The record is from RNAcentral.